AAGGUUAAGCCUCACGGUUCAUUAGUACCGGUUAGCUCAACGCAUCGCUGCGCUUACACACCCGGCCUAUCAACGUCGUCGUCUUCAACGUUCCUUCAGGACCCUUAAAGGGUCAGGGAGAACUCAUCUCGGGGCAAGUUUCGUGCUUAGAUGCUUUCAGCACUUAUCUCUUCCGCAUUUAGCUACCGGGCAGUGCCAUUGGCAUGACAACCCGAACACCAGUGAUGCGUCCACUCCGGUCCUCUCGUACUAGGAGCAGCCCCCCUCAGUUCUCCAGCGCCCACGGCAGAUAGGGACCGAACUGUCUCACGACGUUCUAAACCCAGCUCGCGUACCACUUUAAAUGGCGAACAGCCAUACCCUUGGGACCUACUUCAGCCCCAGGAUGUGAUGAGCCGACAUCGAGGUGCCAAACACCGCCGUCGAUAUGAACUCUUGGGCGGUAUCAGCCUGUUAUCCCCGGAGUACCUUUUAUCCGUUGAGCGAUGGCCCUUCCAUUCAGAACCACCGGAUCACUAUGACCUGCUUUCGCACCUGCUCGCGCCGUCACGCUCGCAGUCAAGCUGGCUUAUGCCAUUGCACUAACCUCCUGAUGUCCGACCAGGAUUAGCCAACCUUCGUGCUCCUCCGUUACUCUUUAGGAGGAGACCGCCCCAGUCAAACUACCCACCAGACACUGUCCGCAACCCGGAUUACGGGCCCACGUUAGAACAUCAAACAUUAAAGGGUGGUAUUUCAAGGUCGGCUCCAUGCAGACUGGCGUCCACACUUCAAAGCCUCCCACCUAUCCUACACAUCAAGGCUCAAUGUUCAGUGUCAAGCUAUAGUAAAGGUUCACGGGGUCUUUCCGUCUUGCCGCGGGUACACUGCAUCUUCACAGCGAGUUCAAUUUCACUGAGUCUCGGGUGGAGACAGCCUGGCCAUCAUUACGCCAUUCGUGCAGGUCGGAACUUACCCGACAAGGAAUUUCGCUACCUUAGGACCGUUAUAGUUACGGCCGCCGUUUACCGGGGCUUCGAUCAAGAGCUUCGCGUUGCCGCUAACCCCAUCAAUUAACCUUCCGGCACCGGGCAGGCGUCACACUGUAUACGUCCACUUUCGUGUUUGCACAGUGCUGUGUUUUUAAUAAACAGUUGCAGCCAGCUGGUAUCUUCGACUGAUUUCAGCUCCACGAGCAAGUCGCUUCACCUACAUAUCAGCGUGCCUUCUCCCGAAGUUACGGCACCAUUUUGCCUAGUUCCUUCACCCGAGUUCUCUCAAGCGCCUUGGUAUUCUCUACCUGACCACCUGUGUCGGUUUGGGGUACGAUUUGAUGUUACCUGAUGCUUAGAGGCUUUUCCUGGAAGCAGGGCAUUUGUCGCUUCAGCACCGUAGUGCCUCGUCAUCACGCCUCAGCCUUGAUUUUCCGGAUUUGCCUGGAAAACCAGCCUACACGCUUAAACCGGGACAACCGUCGCCCGGCCAACAUAGCCUUCUCCGUCCCCCCUUCGCAGUAACACCAAGUACAGGAAUAUUAACCUGUUUCCCAUCGACUACGCCUUUCGGCCUCGCCUUAGGGGUCGACUCACCCUGCCCCGAUUAACGUUGGACAGGAACCCUUGGUCUUCCGGCGAGCGGGCUUUUCACCCGCUUUAUCGUUACUUAUGUCAGCAUUCGCACUUCUGAUACCUCCAGCAACCCUCACAGGCCACCUUCACAGGCUUACAGAACGCUCCCCUACCCAACAACACAUAGUGUCGCUGCCGCAGCUUCGGUGCAUGGUUUAGCCCCGUUACAUCUUCCGCGCAGGCCGACUCGACCAGUGAGCUAUUACGCUUUCUUUAAAUGAUGGCUGCUUCUAAGCCAACAUCCUGGCUGUCUGGGCCUUCCCACAUCGUUUCCCACUUAACCAUGACUUUGGGACCUUAGCUGGCGGUCUGGGUUGUUUCCCUCUUCACGACGGACGUUAGCACCCGCCGUGUGUCUCCCGUGAUAACAUUCUCCGGUAUUCGCAGUUUGCAUCGGGUUGGUAAGUCGGGAUGACCCCCUUGCCGAACCAGUGCUCUACCCCCGGAGAUGAAUUCACGAGGCGCUACCUAAAUAGCUUUCGGGGAGAACCAGCUAUCUCCCGGUUUGAUUGGCCUUUCACCCCCAGCCACAAGUCAUCCGCUAAUUUUUCAACAUUAGUCGGUUCGGUCCUCCAGUUAGUGUUACCCAACCUUCAACCUGCCCAUGGCUAGAUCACCGGGUUUCGGGUCUAUACCCUGCAACUUAACGCCCAGUUAAGACUCGGUUUCCCUUCGGCUCCCCUAUUCGGUUAACCUUGCUACAGAAUAUAAGUCGCUGACCCAUUAUACAAAAGGUACGCAGUCACCCCAUUAAGAGGCUCCCACUGCUUGUACGUACACGGUUUCAGGUUCUUUUUCACUCCCCUCGCCGGGGUUCUUUUCGCCUUUCCCUCACGGUACUGGUUCACUAUCGGUCAGUCAGGAGUAUUUAGCCUUGGAGGAUGGUCCCCCCAUAUUCAGACAGGAUACCACGUGUCCCGCCCUACUCAUCGAGCUCACAAUAUGUGCAUUUUUGUGUACGGGGCUGUCACCCUGUAUCGCGCGCCUUUCCAGACGCUUCCACUAACACACACACUGAUUCAGGCUCUGGGCUCCUCCCCGUUCGCUCGCCGCUACUGGGGGAAUCUCGGUUGAUUUCUUUUCCUCGGGGUACUUAGAUGUUUCAGUUCCCCCGGUUCGCCUCAUUAACCUAUGGAUUCAGUUAAUGAUAGUGUGACGAAUCACACUGGGUUUCCCCAUUCGGAAAUCGCCGGUUAUAACGGUUCAUAUCACCUCACCGACGCUUAUCGCAGAUUAGCACGUCCUUCAUCGCCUCUGACUGCCAGGGCAUCCACCGUGUACGCUUAGUCGCUUAA
This 2902-nucleotide ribosomal RNA is filed under the name Escherichia coli RN587/1. RNAcentral's name for it is "23S ribosomal RNA". Lineage: Bacteria; Pseudomonadati; Pseudomonadota; Gammaproteobacteria; Enterobacterales; Enterobacteriaceae. The record is from RNAcentral.